AACACAUGCAGUCGAGCGGGGAAGGGUAGCUUGCUACCUGACCUAGCGGCGGACGGGUGAGUAAUGCUUAGGAAUCUGCCUAUUAGUGGGGGACAACAUUCCGAAAGGAAUGCUAAUACCGCAUACGCCCUACGGGGGAAAGCAGGGGAUCUUCGGACCUUGCGCUAAUAGAUGAGCCUAAGUCAGAUUAGCUAGUUGGUGGGGUAAAGGCCUACCAAGGCGACGAUCUGUAGCGGGUCUGAGAGGAUGAUCCGCCACACUGGGACUGAGACACGGCCCAGACUCCUACGGGAGGCAGCAGUGGGGAAUAUUGGACAAUGGGCGAAAGCCUGAUCCAGCCAUGCCGCGUGUGUGAAGAAGGCCUUUUGGUUGUAAAGCACUUUAAGCGAGGAGGAGGCUACCGAGAUUAAUACUCUUGGAUAGUGGACGUUACUCGCAGAAUAAGCACCGGCUAACUCUGUGCCAGCAGCCGCGGUAAUACAGAGGGUGCGAGCGUUAAUCGGAUUUACUGGGCGUAAAGCGUGCGUAGGCGGCUUUUUAAGUCGGAUGUGAAAUCCCUGAGCUUAACUUAGGAAUUGCAUUCGAUACUGGGAAGCUAGAGUAUGGGAGAGGAUGGUAGAAUUCCAGGUGUAGCGGUGAAAUGCGUAGAGAUCUGGAGGAAUACCGAUGGCGAAGGCAGCCAUCUGGCCUAAUACUGACGCUGAGGUACGAAAGCAUGGGGAGCAAACAGGAUUAGAUACCCUGGUAGUCCAUGCCGUAAACGAUGUCUACUAGCCGUUGGGGCCUUUGAGGCUUUAGUGGCGCAGCUAACGCGAUAAGUAGACCGCCUGGGGAGUACGGUCGCAAGACUAAAACUCAAAUGAAUUGACGGGGGCCCGCACAAGCGGUGGAGCAUGUGGUUUAAUUCGAUGCAACGCGAAGAACCUUACCUGGUCUUGACAUAGUAAGAACUUUCCAGAGAUGGAUUGGUGCCUUCGGGAACUUACAUACAGGUGCUGCAUGGCUGUCGUCAGCUCGUGUCGUGA
Molecule: ribosomal RNA, 1025 nt
Filed under: Acinetobacter johnsonii
Lineage: Bacteria; Pseudomonadati; Pseudomonadota; Gammaproteobacteria; Moraxellales; Moraxellaceae
Description: bacterial SSU rRNA
Rfam family: Bacterial small subunit ribosomal RNA
Source: RNAcentral